CGGUUCCCCGGGGACUCGUUUAACGGAACACGAGUUGAAAUCCUGGAUAUUCACAUCCUGAAACUUUCCAGGACGACACCCAGCGGAUCACGACUCUUGCAAAAGCUCUCUGUCCAGCAGCGACGUCAGCUUCAUCGCCAACGGCAACGCCCAGAGGGAGGCGCUGUUGGGGUUCUCUGACGGAGACACGGAUCU
Molecule: long non-coding RNA, 195 nt
Organism: Pseudoliparis swirei
Lineage: Eukaryota; Metazoa; Chordata; Actinopteri; Perciformes; Liparidae
Exons: 3
Source: RefSeq, a predicted model, not a curated record